AGAGCUCAACUUUGGAUCGCUCCGGCGAGUUGUAGUCUGGAGGUGGCCACCACGAGGUGUUCUAGCAGCAGGCAAGUCCUUUGGAACAAGGCGCCAGCGAGGGUGACAGCCCCGUACCUGCUUUUGCUAGUGCUUCCUGUGGCCCACCGACGAGUCGAGUUGUUUGGGAAUGCAGCUCUAAGUGGGUGGUAAAUUCCAUCUAAGGCUAAAUAUUGGCGAGAGACCGAUAGCGAACAAGUACAGUGAUGGAAAGAUGAAAAGCACUUUGAAAAGAGAGUGAAACAGUACGUGAAAUUGUUGAAAGGGAAGGGCUUGCACCCAGACACGGUUUCGGCCGGGCCAGCAUCAAGUAGAACGGGGUUAAAAGACUUGGGGAAUGUAGCUACUUCGGUAGUGUUAUAGCCCUUGGUGAUGACCCCUGUUUUGCUUGAGGACAGCGGUCUCUAGGAUGCUGGCGCAAUGGUUGCAAGCCACCCGU
RNAcentral lists this ribosomal RNA (478 nucleotides) under Candidozyma auris. RNAcentral's name for it is "eukaryotic LSU rRNA". It matches the Rfam family "Eukaryotic large subunit ribosomal RNA", at positions 104 to 652 of the family's 3401-position model. The record is from RNAcentral. Lineage: Eukaryota; Fungi; Ascomycota; Pichiomycetes; Serinales; Metschnikowiaceae.